GAGAAGUGAAGAAAGUUUUAUGGUAUUGGAAGGAGAGGAGAGAACAAUAGAUUAGGGUUUAAGGUGCAUUUUUAAUUUGUUAAUUAUUAUUUAUUUGUUUGAUUUAUAAAUCUUAUUAUUUGUCCUAUUUUGAGGUUUUGGAAAGGGAGGAGGCAGCAGAUUAAGGUUUAAAGGAACAUUUUUAAUGUUUUUCCGUAAUUAUUAUUUAUUUGUUUGUUUUGUAAUCUUCAUUAAAUGUCCCAUUUUAUGAUUUUGGAAAGAGAGGAGGCAACAACAGACUAAGGUUUAAAGGUGCAUUUUAAUUUUUUUUUUUUGUAAUUAUUAUUUGUUUGUUUGUUUUGUAAUCCUUAUUAUUGUCCUGUGUUAUUUUUUAGUUGGAUGUAGCUAUUGAGUUGAGGUUAGAUUUUAGAGUAGUUGGUAUGUUCCUAUACAUUUAAUUUAUACAUUAUAGUAUUAAUGCCUUUUUCUGGUGCCAUUUAGAAAACAUAUUUUAUGCCCUCAUUUAUUUUUUUAUUUAUUUCUCACUUGUAUUGGUCUUACGGUUUAGCCAGUUUGCUCAAAUUUUGUGUCUAAAGACAAAACGAC
Molecule: long non-coding RNA, 585 nt
Filed under: Gossypium raimondii (Peruvian cotton)
Lineage: Eukaryota; Viridiplantae; Streptophyta; Magnoliopsida; Malvales; Malvaceae
Description: long non-coding RNA (GRAI_LNC006243)
Source: RNAcentral